This is a long non-coding RNA of Nicotiana attenuata, 349 nucleotides long. RefSeq lists it as uncharacterized. The record is from RefSeq and is a predicted model, not a curated record. Lineage: Eukaryota; Viridiplantae; Streptophyta; Magnoliopsida; Solanales; Solanaceae. The transcript has 2 exons.
GUGUCGCUUGUCGGGUCUGGUAAUCCACCUAAUACCCAUGAUGAGUUGAUCAACCUUGCCACAAAUCCUGAAACAGGGUUCAUUCGUCUCUUCAGUCAGCAUCAAUUGCAGGAGUUUUUGUUAUUUGAGAGGGAAUAUACAAUAUACAAAAUGGAACUCGAGGAGGAGCCAACCGCUUGAUUUGAGGAGCUUAAAUACUUGACAGGCUUGUUUGAAUUUGAGUUAUGGUUUACAUUUUUGUAGUCUAUCAAAAUUAGGUUCUUUUUUGGAUGGUUGUUACCUAUUAUAUUGUUACAUUAAAUAUAAUAUUUGUUUUUAUUGUUAUUUAAAAUCUGAAUAUAUCGUAUCG